AGAGUUUGAUCCUGGCUCAGGAUGAAUGCUGGCGGCGUGCCUAACACAUGCAAGUCGAGCGGUAACAUGAAUAAUUUAUUAUUUGAUGACGAGCGGCGGACGGCUGAGUAACGCGUGGGAACAUGCCCCAAAGUGAGGGAUAAGCUCCAGAAAUGGAGUCUAAUACCGCAUAUGAUCUUCGGAUUAAAGGAUUUAUCCGCUUUGGGAGUGGCCUGCGUACGAUUAGAUAGUUGGUGAGGUAAUGGCUUACCAAGUCUUCGAUCGUUAGCUGGUCUGAGAGGAUGACCAGCCAGACUGGAACUGAGACACGGUCCAGACUCCUACGGGAGGCAGCAGUGAGGAAUCUUCCACAAUGGGCGAAAGCCUGAUGGAGCAACGCCGCGUGCAGGAUGAAGGCCCUCGGGUCGUAAACUGCUUUUAUAAGUGAAGAAUAUGACGGUAACUUAUGAAUAAGCACCGGCUAACUACGUGCCAGCAGCCGCGGUCAUACGUAGGGUGCAAGUAUUAUCCGGAGUGACUGGGCGUAAAGAGUUGCGUAGGUGGACAAGUAAGCGAAUAGUGAAAUCCGACGGCUCAACCGUAUGGACUAUUACUCGAACUGCUUGUCUCGAGAAUGGUAGAGGUAACUGGAAUUUCUAGUGUAGGAGUGAAAUCCGUAGAUAUUAGAAGGAACACCAAUGGCGUAGGCAGGUUACUGGACCAUUUCUGACACUGAGGCACGAAAGCGUGGGGAGCGAACCGGAUUAGAUACCCUGGUAGUCC
RNAcentral lists this ribosomal RNA (762 nucleotides) under uncultured bacterium. RNAcentral describes it as "bacterial SSU rRNA". It matches the Rfam family "Bacterial small subunit ribosomal RNA", at positions 8 to 796 of the family's 1533-position model. The record is from RNAcentral.